CCUUAAGUACACAUUUUAAUGCACAUUUAGACAUAAUUUUAUUAGAAAGCUAAGCUCGUGAAGAAGUUUUAUUUCAAAGGGCAGUUAGUGCAUUGAAAGUCUGAGAGCCUUUAGCUGUACUUUGUCUCUCUAACUCAGUAAUCCUCAAGGAAUUCAUGGGGAAUUUGCAGAAAAGUGAUGAGCUCAGCUGAAAGUUACCCACAAAACACCCAGAGGUUUUAGAGAAUAUUUUAAUGCUUUAAGUGGCAGGCUCCAGAGAAGAGGCUGCAGAAAUCAGUGUCGGUGGCCAAGCAGCCGGGAGAGCCGUGCUCUGCUUCUGUGAGUCCCUUCUCUUCUCUCUCACAGCAGGAAAUGAAGGAGUAGUAGCCUCCUUCCCAUCUUCCCACAGGCUGCGAUGCUGCAAGCGCCUCAGGAGGACUUAUGUCAGCCUAAACUCAUGAUUGCGAAUGUCAGUGAGGUGAGGACAGAUUAUCCUUCAUAAGAAUUAACUCAUGGCAUCUAAUUUGGUGAAAAGCUAUAGAACUAUUAAAAAGGUCACAGAGAAGGGAUGCCUGGCUGGCUUUGUCAGUAGAGCAUGUGACACUUGACCUCGGGAUUAUGAGUUCCAGCCCCACUUUGCAGGGUGGGUGGGGGGGGCGGUAGUUAAUUAAAAAAAAUUUUUUUUUUAAUUCUGAGUAGGGGAGUAUUAAUAGACUCACCCUAAUCAUUAUAAUUCAGUGAGAUUGGUAUUAAAAUUGGGCAAGCCUCCCCUACCACUCCCCGCUACAAAAAGAGAAAAAUAAAUAAAUAAAAUUGGGCAAAGCCCUAAAUGCUGGGUAACAGUCAUAUAUCCCGCUUGAUCCCUGAGGGAAGUCAGCCUGGAACUGAAAUAAAUGUGUCACAAAUGGUGUUGGAUGCCUUUUUUGUUUCAUGCAUUUGAUCACGUCAGGCCCUUUUCUGCUGGGCAAGAAAAAAAAAAGGGCACAUAAUUGGUAGUUUCUACUCUGUUUUGGUUUUAGGGAGGAAAUAAUAUAUAGGGUGUGGGCUUACUUUGACUUCUUGCAUUUUCCCUUGUCUCCCACCCCCAGAAAAAUGCAGACUUCUUGUUGGAAUGUGAUGAUGUGUAUGGGGGGGGCGGUAUGGUUUGGAGGAAGGUGGGGGUACAUCUGCACACAUGUGUUUGGGGUGUGUGCCUGUGUAUGUUCGGGGGUGUAUUUGGGGGAAUGUGUGUUGGUGUGUUUGGGGGGUGCACACGUGUAUGAUCGGGGGUGUGUACCCGUGAGGCAAGGGUGGGAAGAGGAAAGGUCACUCACGGACAAAGGAGGGGUGGUUAAGGGGAAGAAGUCUACCUGCGGCUCCACAAACCAGGUAGGUGGUAAAGGGGAAGAAUGGCAGUUUCCCCUGAGCACCGGGAUCUUGUCCGGUUUUCACCCUCUCUUCCCUCACACCUCGUCUCCGUCCCUUCUCCCUUGACCUCCUAAUAGAAGAUUGUAAGUUAAAAUAUUUUUUUGAGGACUUUAUGACACUAGUCUGAAGUCUAAGAGUCUGGACUGUGGCUGGGAAGCUGGAAAACGUGGACUUAGUAGGGACAGCAUCUUUCCGCUCAGAGAUGAGGUUGAGAGGACCCAGUUUGUCAGUACAGAGCCCUCAAUGCUGAAAACCAGGGGGCGUGGGACUCCCUGUGUCUUCUAGAGGAGCUUUCAGCCUCCAGAAGCAUGAAAUCCAGAGAGACUUUUAAAAAACAAAACAGUGAGAGGAUAACACUCACAGGCAGAAAUUCUUCUAGCUCGAGAAUUGGAAACAGUGGCCGGUCUCAGAUUAAAUAAAUGCAUGGUCUCCAAAGCCAAAGGCCAACAUGCUCCUUCCUCUGUUUUCACGUAUGUAUUCAGGUGAAGACAAUCAAUGACGCACACAGAGAAAAGACACCCCCUUGGUGUUCUGGCCACCAGGCUGGCUUUUGCAUAGAAAGUCACAUUUGCUCUCCUACCCACCCCAACCCUGUCCACAUAGCUCUGUUCACUUCGUCGCCUGGAGCCCUACGGAAGUCAUCAAGUUAUACCUGCUUUUUUUGCACCUGCCACCCCAGUCCUCAGGAAGACAGACACAGAGCGAGACGGGACGAAAGGCGUGCUUGCAGCUCUGGCCAGAGACGAGAGGGACAUUUCCCAGGAGACGCUUAGGCUGGACUCUGCUCCUGCUCUUGGCCAGGGGCGUCUCCGCUCUCUGCAGUGCCCGCAGCCAAACUCUGCCUCUCAUCCUCCAGUGCCUGGUACCCCCUCUUCUUGUACUUCCGGGUGCCGUAGAUGGCCAGGGCAAUGACAGCCGCCAGGACGGUGGUGACCCCCAUGGUGACUCCAGCCGCUGCCCCUCCCGACAGACCCCCGCCAUCCCCACGGAUGACCUUCAUGGCCCUGCGCAGCUCCAGCGGCUCCCCCAGCCUCCACUGGCGGGUCUGGGAAUCCUUAAUCCAGGAGCUUGCUGUCUCGCUAUUAGUCACGAUGACAGUAUUGGUGGCAGCCUGACUCAUGAGGGGUGGCCGGGUGUAAGGUGGGAGCCUGGCAGGGGGCAGAGACCCUCCUGUGAAAAGCCCGGACUUGACACAGUAGGACACUUGGCAUCCAUCACUGAUGAGGGCUAGGUGUUGGCUGAAGCCCCCAGGACACUUUUUUAGAGAAGGCGCCCCUUCUGUAAAGGCAGAAUUUACCAAGGGGUUCCCGACUGCACAGCUAAAGAACCCACCAAAGGGGACCGAAAACCUAAAUCCCAACUCAUAGUCCAGAGAGGCACAUACCUUGAGGUUUUCAAAAAGUCUCAGCGGAAAGUAGCCAGGUGGGCAGGACUGCGCAUUCGUCAAGGGGUUUAUGGUCUUACCACUGAAGAGGCCCCCGAAGAGUAGUCCUGAGUUUUCCGGUAUUUGGCCACUGGCUACACACCAAAAAGCCCUAAAUUCAGCCUUCGCCACCCGGAACACGUCUUCGCACACCGUCUUGCAGAAGACGAGGAGGGUGCACUUGCGCCGGCACUCCAGGUGGUUGUAGCCCUCCUCGUGGACCUGGGAUAGCAGGUGGAUGGGGGAGUAGCCAGAGGGGCAGGAGAAAGCACCAGUGAGGGGGUUCCUCUGCUCCAAGGUUUGGCACAGCUGGGCGGCCUCCUUCCCCGAGAGCUGGGUGCAUUCCUGAAAGACCCCCCCGAAGGAGAAGUUGGUCAUUUUCCCCUCGCAGGAGCCAUCAUCGGUGUUGGCCUGAAAGUUGAAGUUGGGCGAAUUGGCGUCUGUGCACCCAGGGUAGGUGUUGAAUGCGUAAUAGUGUCUCACGGCCGCCUCCACCGUCUUGGACAGCUUCUUCACCAGCGGCCCCGGCAGCUCGGGCAGCGUGUCGGGGCUGAUGAAGAAGGGCAGAGGCAGGCCAGCACGGUCUAUGGCCACCAGGUGGUUGGCGAUGCUCUGCUGCCAGGCCUGGAGGGUGAUGCCCGGAUAGAAAGGAACCCCCCCGAUGCUACGGACCCUGGAGUGGGUUCGGUUCGCGAGGUAGCUCUUGGUGAGCGCGUUCUGGGAGGUGUAGUUCUCCUCGAAUUUGUAGUUCACGACGUUCAUGAAGGCGACACCAGCAGAUGCCGUCACGGCAGUGUGGCUGCUCUGGCUGUCCUGUAAGAACGAGGCUCUGAUGUGGUCCUCCUGGAGGAGGGCAGCUCCGGCAUCCACACUGGUGACGACAUGGGUGCCGUAGUUGAGGACCAGAAGCUCUGCCAGGUAGGUGGCCAUCCGCGUCUGGUUGUUCUCCAGGCGGUCGGAGAUGUCCAUGAGGUCCUUCUUGAACCCCCAGCUUAGUUUGGAUGCCGAGUUGAUUUUGACCGUGUAGAUCAGGUUUCGGAUCUGAACCCGGGUAGUUAUGGCUUGGUCCUUCACUUGAAGGGUCUUCAUCUGCUGGAAAUCAGAGGAGAAUUUGCCAUUGACCUUGGAAUACAGGGAGAGCUCCAGGUUGAUGGAGCUGGAGGUGCUGCUCUGGUAAUUCACCCAGGACUCCAGGAUUUCGGAGUUCAUCUCCAGGUUGCUCUGUUUCUGGGCGAUGCUGGUGAUUUCAUCAGGGAUGAUGUACUGUCCAUCCUCCGUGGUCCUGCAGCUCCUGUAGGUCAAGUCCAUCACCCGUCCCAUGUCUACAUUCCGCAGGUUAUCCCAGCCUCCUCCGGGUAAGACUUCUAGAACAGGUAGUUUUAAGGCGUUCUUGCAUUUCUGAAAUCCAGUCUCAUUUGUCUGUUCCAAAGGCUUGUCCGUUUUAGCCCACGCUACCACUACCCAGAAGAGGAUAGCACCCCGGACGCUGCUCAUGGCUCAGACGGCCCUGGCUGCACGCCAGCCCUAAGCAGCAGCCAGAGAGCUGGGUGCAAACUAAACAGAUGGGAAAGAAGGCAGUUGCUGAAACAAACACCUACAACAGUUCUCCCAAAGCCACCAAGCCACCAGUUCCUCUUUAGGCUGAGCUAAUUGCAAAA
RNAcentral lists this long non-coding RNA (4467 nucleotides) under Canis lupus familiaris (dog). RNAcentral's name for it is "macrophage expressed 1 (ENSCAFG00000007649.3)". The record is from RNAcentral. Lineage: Eukaryota; Metazoa; Chordata; Mammalia; Carnivora; Canidae.